This 444-nucleotide ribosomal RNA is filed under the name Triticum aestivum (bread wheat). RNAcentral describes it as "partial small subunit ribosomal RNA". The record is from RNAcentral. Lineage: Eukaryota; Viridiplantae; Streptophyta; Magnoliopsida; Poales; Poaceae.
AUGAAGGACCUUGGAGAAGCUGCUUACAUAUUAGGCAUCAAGAUCUAUAGGGAUAGAUCGAGAUGCCUCAUAGGUCUUUCACAAAGCACAUACCUUGAUAAGAUUUUGAAGAAGUUCAAAAUGGAUCAGUCCAAGAAAGGGUUCUUGCCUAUAUUGCAAGGUGUGAGAUUGAGCUCGGCUCAAUGCCCGACCACGACAGAAGAUAAAGAAGAUAUGAGUGUCAUCCCCUAUGCCUCAGCCAUAGGAUCUAUUAUGUAUGCCAUGCUGUGUACCAGACCAGAUGUAAACCUUGCCGUAAGUUUGGUAGGUAGGUACCAAAGUAAUCCCGGCAAGGAACACUGGACAACGGUCAAGAAUAUCCUAAAGUACCUAAAAAGGACAAAGGACAUGUUUCUCAUUUAUGGAGGUGACGAAGAGCUCGUCGUAAAGGGUUACGUCGACUAG